This 292-nucleotide ribosomal RNA is filed under the name uncultured bacterium. Its description in RNAcentral is "partial 16S ribosomal RNA". It matches the Rfam family "Bacterial small subunit ribosomal RNA", at positions 505 to 796 of the family's 1533-position model. The record is from RNAcentral.
GUGUCAGCCGCCGCGGUAAGACAGAGGGUGCAAACGUUGUUCGGAAUUACUGGGCGUAAAGCGCGUGUAGGCGGCAGCGUGUGUCGGGCGUGAAAUCCCAUGGCUCAACCAUGGAAGUGCACCCGAAACUGCGCAGCUAGAGUCCUGGAGAGGAAGGCGGAAUACUUGGUGUAGAGGUGAAAUCCGUAGAUAUCAAGUGGAACACCGGUGGCGAAGGCGGCCUUCUGGACAGUGACUGACGCUGAGACGCGAAAGCGUGGGGAGCAAACAGGAUUAGAUACCCCGGUAGUCC